AUGGGCCUGGAGAAAACCUUCCAGGGAUCAAGGCGGAAGUCUGUAAGGAAGAUGCAGCAGGCCAGGGAAGGGAGGGUCCUGAGAAUGCAAGCGAAAGCAAUGAAAUGCUGCAUCAGGAAACCCAGAUGUCUGCAAGGGAAAGGGCUUACACGGGAGCACACCAAGCUUGCCUUCCCCAGCCCCUUCAGACACCUGUCUGAGGGCUUCUUGCAUAGCCGCUGGCUCCUGAAGCUGAAACAUGGGCACUUUGGGUGGCCAGGCUGGGAGAUGGGCCCACCAGGAAACUGGAGCCUACAUCCUCCUCGUGGAAGGGAUGCCCACCCUGGUCCCACUGCAGAAUCAGCUUCUGGUCCAUCAGAGGAUCGGAGUGUGAAUUUCCUGAAGAACAUAGGGGAGAGCUGCCCUCAGCCCUCUGGGCAUGGAAGUUGAUAUUGAUGUGGAGCAUGGAGGGAAAAGAAGCCACCUGACCCCUGUCUCUCCAGAGAGUUCCAGCACAGAGGAGAAGGGCAGCUUGCAGCCAAGCAGCUGCUGCUCUGACCUGAGCAAUGUGAGUGGGACCAUGGAGGGUGCCACACAGUCUCUGGUGAGGUGGUUGAUAAAGAUCACCUUGGAGCCCGAGGGGCACCCUGAGGAACAGAUGGAGUCUGAUAACUGUUCGGGAGGAGACGAUGACUGGACCCAUUGUCUUCAAAAGAAGUGGACCCAUCCACAGGUGAACUCCCGUCCCUACAGAUGCCAGAAUCCGAAGGGCCAAGCUCUCUGGACCCCUCCCAGGAGGGACCCACAGGGCUGAAAGAAGCUGGCUUGUCCCCACAUCUCCCACCAGAAGCUGACCCGUGGCUGAUUGAGUCCAUCUCCCAGAGGCUGUCCUUGGGCUUCUCUGACUAAGGCGGCUUGCUCAUCAGGGUCCUGCAGACCAAGAAUUAUGACAUCGGGGUGGCUCUGAACACCAUCCAUUAUUCAAAGCAUCCGCCGCCUUUGUGACUGCUUUUGCCCACCUCUUCUGUGUCCCCCUCUUCUGUCUCGUAGUUGUGUUAAGCUAGUGUAGAAUUGCAGGCCUCUGUAUGGACCAGUUUCUCCGCCUUCUUCUUUCAGGAUCAGGGGUUGGGGUGCAAGAAGCCAUUUAGGGCAGCAAAACAAGUGACUUGAGGGGAGAGUCCCCGUGUGUG
Molecule: RNA transcript, 1169 nt
Organism: Cebus imitator (Panamanian white-faced capuchin)
Lineage: Eukaryota; Metazoa; Chordata; Mammalia; Primates; Cebidae
Gene name: sequestosome-1-like
Exons: 2
Source: RefSeq, a predicted model, not a curated record